RNAcentral lists this ribosomal RNA (435 nucleotides) under uncultured bacterium. Its description in RNAcentral is "partial 16S ribosomal RNA". It matches the Rfam family "Bacterial small subunit ribosomal RNA", at positions 29 to 507 of the family's 1533-position model. The record is from RNAcentral.
AGCGAACGCUGGCGGCAGGCUUAACACAUGCAAGUCGAGCGGGCACUUUCGGGUGUCAGCGGCGGACGGGUGAGUAACGCGUGGGAACGUGCCCUCUGGUUCGGAAUAACUCAGGGAAACUUGAGCUAAUACCGGAUACGCCCUUUUGGGGAAAGGCUUGCUGCCGGAGGAUCGGCCCGCGUCUGAUUAGCUAGUUGGUGAGGUAACGGCUCACCAAGGCGACGAUCAGUAGCUGGUCUGAGAGGAUGAUCAGCCACACUGGGACUGAGGCACGGCCCAGACUCCUACGGGAGGCAGCAGUGGGGAAUAUUGGACAAUGGGCGCAAGCCUGAUCCAGCCAUGCCGCGUGAGUGAUGAAGGCCUUAGGGUUGUAAAGCUCUUUUAUCCGGGACGAUAAUGACGGUACCGGAGGAAUAAGCCCCGGCUAACUUCGUG